RNA transcript from Musa acuminata AAA Group (dessert banana), 1458 nucleotides. RefSeq lists it as uncharacterized. The transcript is spliced from 10 exons. Lineage: Eukaryota; Viridiplantae; Streptophyta; Magnoliopsida; Zingiberales; Musaceae. The record is from RefSeq and is a predicted model, not a curated record.
CUAACAAGUUUGAUGGCGAAAAUGAACGGCGGAUCUCACCCCAGUGGAAGAAGGCAAUAUUUAGCUAAUUUUGCCCCCAACCAUUCUUCGUCCCAUUACCGCGGUGGCAGAGAAUCCCACUCGCUGUCGUCGUCUCGUGCGCGGAGGAUGGCAGAGCGGCUUCCUUCCGCAAAAGAGGCAUCGCAAUCAAGAGUAGAGAUUCUGAACAAAUACGGAGAAAAGCUUGUUGGGGUGCUACACGAUGCUGGAUCCAAGAAGCUUGUGAUUUUGUGCCAUGGAUUUCGGUCUUCGAAGGAUGAGAGUAUCUUUCUUAACCUUACUUCUGCAUUGACAAGUCAAGGGAUCAGUGUGUUUCGCUUUGAUUUUGCCGGAAAUGGGGAAAGUGAUGGUAUCUUCCGAUAUGGCAACUACCGGAGGGAGGCCGAAGACUUGCGUUCUGUGAUCUUAUAUUUUUCGGAGCAAAAGUAUGAAAUAAGUGCUAUUCUUGGGCACAGUAAAGGGGGUAAUGUGGUGCUCUUAUAUGCUUCUGUGUAUCAUGAUGUCCAUACAGUCAUAAAUCUUUCUGGUCGCUUUGCCUUGGAUAGAGGAAUUGAAGGUCGCUUAGGGAGAGACUUUAUGCAAAGAAUCGAGAAAGAUGGUUUUAUUGAUGUGAAAGAUAGGACAGGAAAAGUUGAGUAUCGGGUUACUGAAGAAAGUCUAAAAGAUAGACUAGACACUGAUAUGCAUGCAGCAUGCCAUUCCAUUGACAAAGAAUGCAGAGUCUUGACUAUUCAUGGUUCAAAAGACGAAAUUGUUCCGUCGGAAGAUGCAAUGGAGUUUGCGAAGCUCAUUCCUAAUCACAAGCUAUAUAUUAUGGAAGGUGCCAACCAUUCUUAUGCUGCACAUCAGGGAGGACUGGCUUCAGUUGUUCUGGACUUCCUAAAAUCCAAUCAGGUGGAAGACGCUGACACAAUGAGAAGUAUAUAAAUUUCUGUUGGAUUUGUGCAAGAGAUUAAUCCGCCAUGAUAAUGUUUGGUAUUUAAUUUUAGUUUCCAGCAUGUUGCUAUUGGCUUUAGCUGAGCUCGGAUCCUGCUACUGCUUUGGGUUGGUCAGCCAACCUUCUUUUAGCAAAGAGAGAAGAGUGAUAACGAUGGAUGUCGUCAUCGUAUUGGUGGCAUCAACCAGGGAGGGAGUUGCCUGUCGGCCUCAGAAUAGCAGGGUUGCAGUUCGCUCACGUCUCGGACAUGGAAUGGAGAAAGAAAGUUAAGGAACGCAGCGAGCGGAAACGUACACGGUCCUCUUUAUUCCGAUCAUCCCGUCUCCUUCCCCACGUAAUGUGAUGCUUACCGGACAAUAUUGAAGGGAAGAGAGGCAGAUCGGUUUGUGUCUAUUGCAGCUUCCAACUUCAUGGCAGGGGCUGCGGCAGGCUGCACAACUUUGGUCAUCAUCUACCCACUGGACAUAGCCCAUACCCGGCUU